UACGUAGGGUGCGAGCGUUGUCCGGAAUUAUUGGGCGUAAAGAGCUCGUAGGCGGUCUGUCGCGUCGAUCGUGAAAACUUGGGGCUUAACCCUGAGCUUGCGGUCGAUACGGGCAUGACUGGAGUUCGGCAGGGGAGACUGGAAUUCCUGGUGUAGCGGUGAAAUGCGCAGAUAUCGGGUGGAACACCGGUGGCGAAGGCGGUUCUCUGGGCCUUACCUGACGCUGAGGAGCGAAAGCGUGGGGAGCGAACAGG
This 254-nucleotide ribosomal RNA is filed under the name uncultured bacterium. RNAcentral describes it as "partial 16S ribosomal RNA". It matches the Rfam family "Bacterial small subunit ribosomal RNA", at positions 524 to 776 of the family's 1533-position model. The record is from RNAcentral.